GGAAUCUUGGACAAUGGGGGAAACCCUGAUCCAGCCAUGCCGCGUGAGUGAUGAAGGCCUUAGGGUUGUAAAACUCUUUCGGCGGGGACGAUAAUGACGGUACCCGCAGAAGAAGCUCCGGCUAACUUCGUGCCAGCAGCCGCGGUAAUACGAAGGGGGCUAGCGUUGUUCGGAAUUACUGGGCGUAAAGCGCGCGCAGGCGGCCAUACAAGUCAGGGGUGAAAGCCCGGAGCUCAACUCCGGAAUUGCCUUUGAAACUGUUUGGCUUGAGUACGGGAGAGGUGAGUGGAAUUCCCAGUGUAGAGGUGAAAUUCGUAGAUAUUGGGAAGAACACCGGUGGCGAAGGCGGCUCACUGGCCCGUUUCUGACGCUCAAGCGCGACAGCGUGGGGAUCAAACA
RNAcentral lists this ribosomal RNA (399 nucleotides) under uncultured Rhizomicrobium sp. RNAcentral's name for it is "bacterial SSU rRNA". It matches the Rfam family "Bacterial small subunit ribosomal RNA", at positions 358 to 774 of the family's 1533-position model. The record is from RNAcentral. Lineage: Bacteria; Pseudomonadati; Pseudomonadota; Alphaproteobacteria; Micropepsales; Micropepsaceae.